Molecule: ribosomal RNA, 638 nt
Filed under: Aspergillus sp. 269A
Lineage: Eukaryota; Fungi; Ascomycota; Eurotiomycetes; Eurotiales; Aspergillaceae
Description: eukaryotic LSU rRNA
Rfam family: 5.8S ribosomal RNA (bases 252-405)
Source: RNAcentral
UUCUUGUCUUUUUUUUGGGGAUAAAGUCGUACAAGGUUUCCGUAGGUGAACCUGCGGAAGGAUCAUUACCGAGUGUAGGGUUCCUAGCGAGCCCAACCUCCCACCCGUGUUUACUGUAACCUUAGUUGCUUCGGCGGGCCCGCCUUUAAGGCCGCCGGGGGGCAUCAGCCCCCGGGCCCGCGCCCGCCGGAGACACCACGAACUCUGUCUGAUCUAGUGAAGUCUGAGUUGAUUGUAUCGCAAUCAGUUAAAACUUUCAACAAUGGAUCUCUUGGUUCCGGCAUCGAUGAAGAACGCAGCGAAAUGCGAUAACUAGUGUGAAUUGCAGAAUUCCGUGAAUCAUCGAGUCUUUGAACGCACAUUGCGCCCCCUGGUAUUCCGGGGGGCAUGCCUGUCCGAGCGUCAUUGCUGCCCAUCAAGCACGGCUUGUGUGUUGGGUCGUCGUCCCCUCUUCGGGGGGGACGGGCCCCAAAGGCAGCGGCGGCACCGCGUCCGAUCCUCGAGCGUAUGGGGCUUUGUCACCCGCUCUGUAGGCCCGGCCGGCGCUUGCCGAACGCAAAACAACCAUUCUUUCCAGGUUGACCUCGGAUCAGGUAGGGAUACCCGCUGACUUAGCUUCUUUUUAACCCGGAAGAAAA